CUUCAUCUGACGAGUCCAAAAUAGGACGAAACGCGUGUUCCGGAU
Molecule: non-coding RNA, 45 nt
Organism: Schistosoma curassoni
Lineage: Eukaryota; Metazoa; Platyhelminthes; Trematoda; Strigeidida; Schistosomatidae
Source: Rfam